Molecule: long non-coding RNA, 390 nt
Filed under: Nicotiana benthamiana
Lineage: Eukaryota; Viridiplantae; Streptophyta; Magnoliopsida; Solanales; Solanaceae
Description: long non-coding RNA (NBEN_LNC029210)
Source: RNAcentral
AAAAUGGCGUGACCCCAAACCGAAGUGGGCAGCCUCGUUUUCAUGAGUAAAUGAGGUAUUUAUGAUUAUUCUCAUCUAUUGUCUCAACAUGAUAUCCAUUUUGACUGAUAUCUUUAAGACUCAACAAGUUUCUCUUGGACUUGGAGGAGAACAUUGCAUUCUCUAUGAUAAAUAUUGUACCUUUAGGCAGAGUUAUAGUUGCUCUUCCGGAGCCUUCAAUCAAUUUACUACUACCAGAAAUUGUAGUAACAUCUGCCUUACACAUACUUAAAUGAGAGAAAUAUUUCUUCUCUUUGAAUAUCGUAUGUGUGGUACAUGAAUCAAUUAAACUAAUAUUUUUACAAUUGGACGUUGAUCCAAGUUUGCUUUGUGAGAUAUCCAUAUUUGCUU